Molecule: ribosomal RNA, 500 nt
Filed under: uncultured bacterium
Lineage: Bacteria
Description: partial 16S ribosomal RNA
Rfam family: Bacterial small subunit ribosomal RNA
Source: RNAcentral
ACUCAAAUGAAUUGACGGGGGCCCGCACAAGCGGUGGAGCAUGUGGUUUAAUUCGAUGCAACGCGCAGAACCUUACCAGCCCUUGACAUGGGUAGUAUGGGGUCCAGAGAUGGACUCCUUCAGUUCGGCUGGCUACCACACAGGUGCUGCAUGGCUGUCGUCAGCUCGUGUCGUGAGAUGUUGGGUUAAGUCCCGCAACGAGCGCAACCCUCGCUUUCAGUUGCCAUCAUUCAGUUGGGCACUCUGAAGGAACUGCCGGUGACAAGCCGGAGGAAGGUGGGGAUGACGUCAAGUCCUCAUGGCCCUUACGGGCUGGGCUACACACGUGCUACAAUGGCGGUGACAGUGGGCGGCUACUUCGCAAGAAGAUGCCAAUCCCAAAAAGCCGUCUCAGUUCGGAUUGCACUCUGCAACUCGAGUGCAUGAAGUUGGAAUCGCUAGUAAUCGCGGAUCAGCAUGCCGCGGUGAAUACGUUCUCGGGCCUUGUACACACCGCCCGU